This 458-nucleotide ribosomal RNA is filed under the name uncultured bacterium. RNAcentral describes it as "partial 16S ribosomal RNA". It matches the Rfam family "Bacterial small subunit ribosomal RNA", at positions 339 to 795 of the family's 1533-position model. The record is from RNAcentral.
CUACGGGUUGCACCAGUGAGGAAUAUUGGUCAAUGGACGGAAGUCUGAACCAGCCAUGUCGCGUGCAGGAAGACUGCCCUAUGGGUUGUAAACUGCUUUUGUACGGGAAGAAAAGAUAAUACGUGUAUUAUUUUGCCGGUACCGUACGAAUAAGCAUCGGCUAACUCCGGCCAGCAGCCGCGGUAAUACGGAGGAUGCGAGCGUUAUCCGGAUUCAUUGGGUUUAAAGGGUGCGUAGGCGGAAUGGUAAGUCAGGGGUGAAAGUUUGUCGCUCAACGGUAAAAUUGCCUUUGAUACUGUCAUUCUUGAGUACAUUUGAGGUAGGCGGAAUGUGAUAUGUAGCGGUGAAAUGCUUAGAUAUAUCACAGAACACCGAUUGCGAAGGCAGCUUACUAAACUGUAACUGACGCUGAGGCACGAAAGCGUGGGGAUCGAACAGGAUUAGAUACCCUCGUAGUC